AUGGCAGCCAAAGACAGCCGGGCUCUCUUUUUGAGUGCCCGGCAUGGUGCCGGGUACAAUGCCAACGGCAUUGUAGCCAAACCCGCUUGAUUAAACCUAAACCAAGCUUUUGGGUUCUAGCAGGCUAGCUGAACAAACGCAAUCCUGUCAUUAAAUCUUAACUAGCUGGUCAAGUUGGACCAUAAUCCCCCUUUUGUGGACUUUGACUAAGAUCAAAUCUCGAAACUUAUGUAAAAGCUUAAUAAUUUUACAUUUUAGAAAAAAAAAAGUUAAUAAAAAUGAAAGUUACAUUAUCUUCGAUGAUAAUCUAGUUGGUUAAUAUUUUUUAGUGAAAGCAAGAUGUUAAGGUUUCAAAUACAAGAGAUACGUUUCAUUUGGGAUGGGGUACUUGUCAAAUAAAAAUUAGCUAAAGGUUAUAUUAAUAGUAAGAGUAACACUAGGGAUCGUAGGUUUGAAUUUCAAGCUCUCAAUUAAUGCGGUGGCACUACAUCAAAUUAAUUAUUGAUGUUGAAUAUGAUGUGAUGGCUAUAUAUAAAUAACCAAAUUAAUUGGAAUUCAAAUGUUAAGAUUCGAAUUAUUAAUAUAAUAUUAAGUGAAGAUGUCAUCUAAUCCCGAGUUAGAUUCAUGACCAUGUAUUGCAUACAAAAAAAAGAGAACUUAAAAUAAUAAAUUGACUUAUUAGUAAGGUAAACCAAUGGUACUUUCUUUGUUUUUAAAAAUAAAGGGAUGGGAAAUUAAAUUUUUUAUUUAUAAAAUUCAUAAUAAUAUAUAAAUUUUCUCAAAAAAAAGAGCCGGAGUACACAUCGACUUGGCCUACACAAGGCUUUGCCUAUAACUGACUUUUCUGCAUGGUCCAUAGUCUCAUGGUUCAAGUUCUUGGUGUUUGGUCCAUUGUCUCGUGGACUUAUGGUUUGUGAUCCCAUAAUGUAUGGUCCAUGGUCUUAUGGAUGUAUGGUCCAUGAUUCCUGGUUUCAAAUUUCUAGUGUUUAGUCCAUUGUCUCAUGGACUUAAGGUUUGUCGUCCCAUAAUGUAUGGUCCAUGGUCUCAUGGAAUUAUGGUUCUUGGUCCUUAGGUGUCUAGUUCCAUCAUCGUUUUUUUUCACUUAUUCAUGAUUAUAUUAAUUGAUCAUUUCACCUUCCACUCGUACCAUCCACAUUUUUUGACUUUAAUAUUCUUUACUAUAACAAUCAUAGUCAUGAUGCUUCUAAUUCAAUUUGGGCACCUUCUCUAAUUAGUCAGAAUAAUGACUUUCCCAUUAAAAACGUUUCUAAGCAAUAAUGACUAACGGCUAGUUUGAUAAUAAUUUAACUUUUAAAAUAUUUGUUAUUUAUUAUAUUGUAAACAUAAUCAACUGUGAAGAUAAUUAGUUAAAUAUUAGGUAAAAUUUAUUUUUGUGAGUUUUAAAAACAGUCGUAAUAUUUGAAAAAAACUUAUUGUUAAACUGUUAUAAGAUUAUAAAUGAUUGAAAUAGAUAUAACAUUAAAUAACGUUUAUUUACAUAUUUAUAAACAUAUGUAUGUAACUUUUUUUGUGUAAAUAUAACAAUUAAGAAUUAAAACAAAUAUUUUAUUUUAUUAAAUUUAUUUUUCAUUUUUAUCUCAAUAUUAUAAGUAACAAUAAUAAUCUUUUUCAAAUUAUUGAUUUUAUAUUCUAAUUGAAUAAGAGUAAUUUUCGAUUUGUAUAAUGUACGUGGGCAUAUACAUAUAGAGUUGUAUUAAAUGUAAAAUUAUUCUAAAAAUCGAAUUUUGAAAAAUUGUUCCUACCUGCUUUUCAAAAUCUAUUAUA
This 1785-nucleotide long non-coding RNA is filed under the name Citrus x clementina. RNAcentral's name for it is "Citrus clementina (C. clementina) long non-coding RNA (CCLE_LNC001838)". Lineage: Eukaryota; Viridiplantae; Streptophyta; Magnoliopsida; Sapindales; Rutaceae. The record is from RNAcentral.